UUAAAAAAAUAAGCGCUUUGGAAAAUGUCUGUCUUCAUAUCCUCAUUAGGAAACUUCUCUUUAAUUUUGUAGUCAAAUCAGAAAAUUAAUGCCCGUUGGACCACAGAGGAGCAGCUUCUAGCAGUGCAAGGUGACUGGCUACUAGGGAAAUAAAUGAAUGUGGAAUUGAGGAUGGAACAAAGAAUUCAAUGCUUUACAAUAAAUGGACUGUAUUUGAGAGUUCAAGAGAGGAUUGGAGAAAAUAACUGAGUAUGUAAAAAAUGGUGUCCGCAAAUAUGGUAAAGAUUUUCAAGCUAUUGCAGAUGUAAUUGGCAACAAGACUGUUGGCCAAGUGAAGAACUUCUUUGUAAACUACAGGCGUCGGUUUAACUUAGAGGAGGUAUUGCAGGAGUGGGAAGCAGAACAAGGAACCCAGGCUUCUAAUGGUGAUGCUUCUACUUUAGGGGAGGAGACAAAAAGUGCUUCUAAUGUGCCAUCAGGGAAGAGCACUGAUGAAGAAGAGGAGGUGUGUUUGUGUAUGGAAUUUGAGCUAAUAUGAGUUGAGGAAUCACCAUUUUGUGUGGUAUUCU
RNAcentral lists this small RNA (569 nucleotides) under Pan troglodytes (chimpanzee). RNAcentral's name for it is "retained intron". Lineage: Eukaryota; Metazoa; Chordata; Mammalia; Primates; Hominidae. The record is from RNAcentral. RNAcentral also lists the same sequence under 1 other name.